Lycium ferocissimum is the source of this 446-nucleotide long non-coding RNA. RefSeq lists it as uncharacterized. The record is from RefSeq and is a predicted model, not a curated record. The transcript is spliced from 3 exons. NCBI's taxonomy places the organism in Eukaryota, Viridiplantae, Streptophyta, Magnoliopsida, Solanales, Solanaceae.
UAGGUGAUGUUCUUUUUCUUCAGUUCAGAAGGGCCAACGAGUGCUGAGAUUUCGUCCUUGUGAUGCCCUUGAAUUACAUGAAACGAAGUUGUUUUGAAAGUCUUAUAAACUCUUUAAAUCAAUGCAUUCUUAGCUAAGAAUAACAUAGUGCUAGCAAAUGAUCCAAGAUGGCGUAUCAAGUAAUCGAGAGGCACAGUUGCUGUUGGUACGCGUACAUUAGGUUUGGUGUUCAUAAGGAUUCUUUUAUUUUGGUUAGGGAUUUGUGUGGGAUUCAAAGGAACUCAACUUUAGAUAAUCCAUACUUGUCUUAAAAAAUUACUCUAUUAGAAUGUAAUGAAAUAGGCCAAAAUAAAGCGAAGAACCCGAAGGUUCAGUCAAUUUCACCUGUUUUGAUUACAUCAUAUUGUAUUUAUUAUGGUUGUGGUCUGUGUUGGUCAAUGUUUGAG